AAGGAAAAGGAACACGUUAGGGUCGUCUUAUUUAGUUUUGAGAGGUCUUGUGGGGCCUUAGCUCAGCUGGGAGAGCGCCUGCUUUGCACGCAGGAGGUCAGCGGUUCGAUCCCGCUAGGCUCCAUUAGGAUAGAUUAAUCCUAAUAACUGUCCAUUGAAAAUUGAAUAUCUAUAUCAAAUUCCACGAUCAAGAAAUUGAUUGUAAGAAUAGUAACAAGAAAUAAACCGAAAACGCUGUAAGUAUUAAAGAGUUUUUACUAGUUCAAAUAUACUAGUAAAAGAUAA
Molecule: transfer RNA, 285 nt
Filed under: Streptococcus canis
Lineage: Bacteria; Bacillati; Bacillota; Bacilli; Lactobacillales; Streptococcaceae
Description: intergenic spacer
Rfam family: tRNA (bases 52-124)
Source: RNAcentral